GACGAACGCUGGCGGCGUGCUUAACACAUGCAAGUCGAACGGAAAGGCCCUGCUUUUGUGGGGUGCUCGAGUGGCGAACGGGUGAGUAACACGUGAGUAACCUGCCCUUGACUUUGGGAUAACUUCAGGAAACUGGGGCUAAUACCGGAUAGGAGCUCCUGCUGCAUGGUGGGGGUUGGAAAGUUUCGGCGGUUGGGGAUGGACUCGCGGCUUAUCAGCUUGUUGGUGGGGUAGUGGCUUACCAAGGCUUUGACGGGUAGCCGGCCUGAGAGGGUGACCGGCCACAUGGGGACUGAGAUACGGCCCAGACUCCUACGGGAGGCAGCAGUGGGGAAUAUUGCACAAUGGGCGGAAGCCUGAUGCAGCAAGCCGCGUGCGGGAUGACGGCCUUCGGGUUGUAAACCGCUUUCGCCUGUGACGAAGCGUGAGUGACGGUAAUGGGUAAAGAAGCACCGGCUAACUACGUG
RNAcentral lists this ribosomal RNA (467 nucleotides) under uncultured bacterium. RNAcentral describes it as "partial 16S ribosomal RNA". It matches the Rfam family "Bacterial small subunit ribosomal RNA", at positions 28 to 507 of the family's 1533-position model. The record is from RNAcentral.